Long non-coding RNA from Cyanistes caeruleus (blue tit), 2399 nucleotides. The record is from Ensembl. Lineage: Eukaryota; Metazoa; Chordata; Aves; Passeriformes; Paridae.
UAAAUUUCUUUGAAAAUGGACAAUAUAAGGUGUUAUACUUAAAUGGGUCUUGUCAAGAUGGUUUGUUAGCAUCCCCCUUGGUACAGAGAAAGUGAUGAAGAAACUGCUCAAUAUUUGGAAUGUGCCUGCAAGGCCCAAAAGAGAAGGAAAGUUUUUAAAGCACUGUUUAUACUUAACCCGACUUGGACAGCUUGAACUCUCCACUUCCUUCAGUGUAUCUGACAGCUUUCUUAACAAAUUCAUUCUACUUAGGCUCAUAAACUGGUUCAACUCUGCAUGUGUUCCAUUAGUGAUAUUGCACAACACUUUUUCAAGCUUUAGAAGGGCUGGGAUUGCAGAGAUUGGAUGUCCUGUGAUAUCACAACAGAGGAUUUGCAAUGUCAGGCUUUUGGAAACUAAAUUAUGCGAUCAUUCAAGUUGCCUCAAGGUUUUAUUCUUUGCCAGAAGUUGUAGGGCAUGGGUAAAUGGAAUUAGUCAGCAGAUUACAGAUCUAUUGCUGAUUUAGCCCCCCAGAAAAAAAAAAAAUACAGCGUGAAGAUGAAGUAUAUUGUUUAAUUACAGCAACAUCGAAUUGCUUCAGUUAAUCACUGACUGAAUAUACCCUAAGGCUUUUAAAUCAGAGGUAUACAGUAAUUUUCAAUAACCCCACCAUGGAAAGAGCUUCCAAAUCUCCAUGACUUAAGACCACACAGCCUGGCUAUAACAGAUUUGAAUCACCUGCAAAUUGUGUUUACCCUCAUGCAGCUGCUUAUUUGGAGUCCAAGUGCAUCUCACCAAUAUUUAGCCAUUAGGUCAUGAAGGCAACAGUUCUUCAAUGCACGUAUUGAGACCAAGCCUCUUUAGCAUAUUGACUUGAUGAAUGGGAAGCCCUAGCCAGUCUUCCCAACACCACCCAGGGUCAGCAUGGUGGGACAGAGACAUUCCACACAGGGCACGUAUCCUCUCUACUCUAAGCAGCAGCGUAAGCAUACCAGCAUUUGUUUGAGAAUUUAUUUCCAAAUUAACUCACAUAACUUGAAUACUAACUUUCCAAUUGCUUGGAAGCUUCCAAAAAAAGCCCUCACUUAGAUGCUAUUUUUCCUUAAUGUUUUAAUUGUGAGUUUUAGCAAGGAGAGAUUAAGGUAUCACCUCUGGUAUUUAUUACCAUUUAUGGUGACUUUGAGGAGAGACCUGUCUUUUGGACAGAAAACAGAAUGAAAGAAUGCUUUAUCAUGACAUUUUUCCUACCCUAUCUCUUUUUCUAAAAUUCCAUUUGACCAUUUGCUAUUACAGUCUGAAUAUGCUCAUUGUUGAUUAAAAUAAUUAAUAUUUGACAUGAACAUUUGAUGAUAAUCCCUUUAAGCACCUCAAAAGAGGGGAAUGCAGAAUUGCAACAGUCUGCUCUUAAUGACUGUAUUCCUGUUUAGUGUUUGCAUUUUGGUAUUUCAGAAGGAGAGCACUGGAGAAUGAGGUUAUGGAACACCCAGCCUAAAGACUGAACUUCUUGCUGGGGUUGCUUUAGGGCAUUUUGAAAAAUAAUACAGUGCCUUACUGUGCCAGGGGGUUUCCUGGUCCUGACCACUGAGAACUGCUGAUAUCACUGUGUUACUGGAAUAGGAAUUGUGGCAAAAGGCAUUGAGGAACCUCUCUGGUGCCAGUGCCUGUUCUGCAACAGUGCUGGAUUUGGAUUUUUCUUGCUUCAUGUCCCAUAUCCACCUGACCUCCACUUCCCUUUCUUUAGGGCCCCAACAAGGCAAAUUGCCCCAUCUUUUCACUGAAUUGUAUUUUUAACUUCACAGGAAAUCUUUGGUUUUCAUUCUGGAUGUGUCAAAUAAUUUCUAUCUUCUUCUUUCCUUCCUUUCCUUGCAUUUUUAUUCGGGGUAGAGGAGUCUUGCAUCUCUGGGAUCUCCAAUAUUGGAAGGACCCUGACAUGUUGGAUUGGGUCCAGAGAAAAGCCACUAAUUUGAUUAGAGGGAUGGAGCAGCUCUCCUAUGAGGAAAGGCUGAGAGAACUGGGUUUGUUCAGCCUGGAAAAGAGAAAUCUUUGGGAUGAGUUAAUUGUGGCCUUCCAGUACCUGAAUGAAGCCUAAAAGAAAGAUGGACAAGGGCUCUUUACAAGGGUAUGUAGUGACAGGACAAAAGGGAAUGGUUUCAGACUGAAAGAGAAGGUUUAGAUCAGAUAUUAGGGGGAAAAAAAAAUUCUAUGAGGGUGGUGAACUACUGAAACAGAUUGUCCAGAGAAUUUGUGAAUAUGGAACCCUGGAAGCGCCUAAGGGUGGGUUUGAUGGAUCUCUGAGAAACGUGGUCUAGUGAACUUGGUGACCUUUCCUGUCCCUUCCAACCCACGCCCCUCUGCGAUCCUAUCAUCCAUCCUAUGGUAUCUGGAAUAAAUAACACUAUCACAAGAAUGCUUGCGGCCGG